GAUGAACGCUGGCGGCGUGCCUAAUACAUGCAAGUCGAGCGAACAGAUGAGGAGCUUGCUCCUCUGACGUUAGCGGCGGACGGGUGAGUAACACGUGGAUAACCUACCUAUAAGACUGGGAUAACUUCGGGAAACCGGAGCUAAUACCGGAUAAUAUAUUGAACCGCAUGGUUCAAUAGUGAAAGACGGUUUUGCUGUCACUUAUCGAUGGAUCCGCGCCGCAUUAGCUAGUUGGUAAGGUAACGGCUUACCAAGGCAACGAUGCGUAGCCGACCUGAGAGGGUGAUCGGCCACACUGGAACGGGGACACGCUCCAGGCUCCUACGGGAGGGAGCAGUAGGGAAUCUUCCGCAAUGGGCGAAAGCCUGACGGAGCAACGCCGCGUGAGUGAUGAAGGUCUUCGGAUCGUAAAACUCUGUUAUUAGGGAAGAACAAAUGUGUAAGUAACUAUGCACGUCUUGACGGUACCUAAUCAGAAAGCCACGGCUAACUACGUG
Molecule: ribosomal RNA, 497 nt
Filed under: uncultured bacterium
Lineage: Bacteria
Description: partial 16S ribosomal RNA
Rfam family: Bacterial small subunit ribosomal RNA
Source: RNAcentral